Molecule: long non-coding RNA, 654 nt
Organism: Bombyx mori (domestic silkworm)
Lineage: Eukaryota; Metazoa; Arthropoda; Insecta; Lepidoptera; Bombycidae
Exons: 2
Source: RefSeq, a predicted model, not a curated record
AAACCUUACCCGAUGAAAGAAUGCUUGCGCUGUUUGUGAUUCCUCGAGGUUAUCUAUGAAAUUGUAAAAAUACAAAUGUAAGCACGAAUUAAUUACCUCUUAUGAAAGUUAAAAAUAAUUUGAGAUUUCAAAUUUGUGUUUUAAUAUCGUGACGGUCCAGUCAGUUAUAAAUUAAAUCUAAGGUGGUACCUCAGAUCUUCUUUGUUACGGUUCUUUGAAGUAUCCAUCAUUUGCAUAGUUCCAGUUUUUUAUUCGGGACUGUUUAAAAUAAAUAAUGCUUUUGGUAAAGAUUCUUUUUUUCCGAAAAAAUUGUGAGGAAUUGAUCUUGAAACGGAACCAUUCGAAUUAGAUGAAGAUACCUACAUCAUGGCCGGGAUGCUAAUCAGUUUACUAUAAAAAAAAUUAUAACAGUUUUAAAAGUGACAAACGGCGUCAUAACAAAUUAUAGAAAGAAUUAUUUGAAAAUAUUAAAAUCAAAAUGGCGGAUUGCUAAAUAUUCGUGUUUCCAAAUAAAUAAGAAACAUACAUACACACAAAUACUAUUUGUGCCGACUAAAAGAGUAAGAAUAUUUUAUUAUAAGUGUGCAUUCUAUACAUUUGUUCUUAGAUACACAUAAAAUGUUAUAAUUUCAAAAUAAUAAAAUACUGUUUUAA